GACGAACGCUGGCGGCGUGCCUAAUACAUGCAAGUCGAGCGAGCGGAACUAACAGAUUUACUUCGGUAAUGACGUUAGGACAGCGAGCGGCGGAUGGGUGAGUAACACGUGGGGAACCUGCCCCAUAGUCUGGGAUACCACUUGGAAACAGGUGCUAAUACCGGAUAAGAAAGCAGAUCGCAUGAUCAGCUUUUAAAAGGCGGCGUAAGCUGUCGCUAUGGGAUAGCCCCGCGGUGCAUUAGCUAGUUGGUAAGGUAAAGGCUUACCAAGGCGAUGAUGCAUAGCCGAGUUGAGAGACUGAUCGGCCACAUUGGGACUGAGACACGGCCCAAACUCCUACGGGAGGCAGCAGUAGGGAAUCUUCCACAAUGGACGCAAGUCUGAUGGAGCAACGCCGCGUGAGUGAAGAAGGUUUUCGGAUCGUAAAGCUCUGUUGUUGGUGAAGAAGGAUAGAGGUAGUAACUGGCCUUUAUUUGACGGUAAUCAACCAGAAAGUCACGGCUAACUACGUG
This 512-nucleotide ribosomal RNA is filed under the name uncultured bacterium. RNAcentral describes it as "partial 16S ribosomal RNA". It matches the Rfam family "Bacterial small subunit ribosomal RNA", at positions 28 to 507 of the family's 1533-position model. The record is from RNAcentral.